AGUAACCUGCCUUGGAGUGGGGAAUAACAGAUGGAAACAUCUGCUAAUACCGCAUAAUACGUCUGUGUCGCAUGGCACUGGACGUCAAAGAUUUAUCGCUCUGAGAUGGACUCGCGUCUGAUUAGCUGGUUGGCGGGGUAACGGCCCACCAAGGCGACGAUCAGUAGCCGGACUGAGAGGUUGGCCGGCCACAUUGGGACUGAGACACGGCCCAGACUCCUACGGAAGGCAGCAG
RNAcentral lists this ribosomal RNA (235 nucleotides) under uncultured bacterium. Its description in RNAcentral is "partial 16S ribosomal RNA". It matches the Rfam family "Bacterial small subunit ribosomal RNA", at positions 120 to 354 of the family's 1533-position model. The record is from RNAcentral.